UACAGAGGGUGCGAGCGUUGUUCGGAAUUAUUGGGCGUAAAGCGCGAGUAGGCGGCUCUUUAAGUCUCCUGUGAAAGCCCCAGGCUCAACCUGGGAAGUGCGGGAGAAACUGGAGAGCUUGAGUGCCAGAGAGGGUGGCGGAAUUCCCGGUGUAGAGGUGAAAUUCGUAGAUAUCGGGAGGAACACCAGAGGCGAAGGCGGCCACCUGGAGGGUAACUGACGCUGAGACGCGAAAGCGUGGGGAGCAAACAGGAUUAGAUA
RNAcentral lists this ribosomal RNA (261 nucleotides) under uncultured bacterium. RNAcentral's name for it is "partial 16S ribosomal RNA". It matches the Rfam family "Bacterial small subunit ribosomal RNA", at positions 524 to 784 of the family's 1533-position model. The record is from RNAcentral.